AAGAGAAUGUAAAGCCAUACAAAACUGAUUGGAUUAAAUUAUUAUAUAACUUGCAUCUUUUAUCUUGCUUCUCAACCGAUGUCUUUCAUGUUUCCUCAGUCUGAUUUCUGCUUUCCUAACAAUCACCAGGUGCUGUCUUGAUGCUUUCAGAGAGAUAGGCACCUGGCCUGUUACAGUGUAAUGUGACCUUCAAGUGAAGAAGCAGUUGUGCAAUGAUGGAACAGUUUGCCCAGUUCCUGUCCUGAGAUACAGUCUUCUGAGUAAACACCCUGAGGAUCUGGACCAAGCAUCCAGAAGAUUAUCAGGAGAAAAAAGCACUGAUAAUAUGAAAAUGAAGAUGUGCAUUGCCAUAAAAAGGAAGGGGUCAACUUCUUUUCCAAAGGGCAGGAGAAGAAACAACAGAUGGAAAGUAAUCAAGGAGAGAAGCAAUCUGGAAUUAAGGAGAAACUUCCUAACAGAUUGAAAACAUCAAGAAAUGAGCUACGUCGCAGCAGGAUGGAGGGAAAGAGAGAAGCCAGGCAGGUCAGGGCAAAUGAAACAAAGAUAGGAAAAAUAUAUGAAAUAAAUACAACUUAUGAACAUUUUGGAAGGAGCACGAGCCAAGAGUGAAGAAGGUAGCCUAGGAAGAGAAAAAAAAUCAGCAGUGUGAUAAAAUAACAUUAUAAAAAAAAAGGAUCAGUUUAUGGGCCAAGUUGAAGGUUAGAAGAAAUAAAACUGGAAGAUAUUAAAAUCAUCCUCCUCUCCAUAUUUACUGGUCCACAUUGUUUUACAAAUUUCUGUAAAAUAGAAUCAAUAAUCAGUAAACUGCAAAUGUAUAAAUAAGUCAUCUCAAACUCUUGUUGAUUUCUAUCACUUCUGUAUUAUAGGAAAUAGUACUUUGGUUUCACAUCUAACACUAUCCUGGAUUUACCCUGAUGCAUCAGGUUCUGAUCUAACACCAUUUGUCACCAGUUGGUUUCCAGGUUCUUUCCCAAUUUGGUGUGGACAAUAUUUUUGGAACCAAAUCUUGCUAUGUCUAGAGCAGGUUGAAGACUCAUUGAAACUACGACAAAGAGGACAAAAGCAUUAGCUAGGCAUUUACUCAAGUGUAAGUAGCUAUAUGGGGAGAUUGUUUUUAUUUAUAUUUUCAUAAUUAGUCAGAUCAUCUCAGUAGCACUAACAUACCUGAAAUAUUUGUAGGAAGUUAGAAUAAUAUCUCGGUUCAUUUAUCACAGACUGAUGGAAAAUAUUCAUCCAAAAUAUUCAUUAAUUAAGCUGAUUAUAUCAAUGCCGUUGACCCGAGUUUGUUAUUCAUGGUGGUUAUCUAUUUAUUUAUUUAAUCUAUAAAAUUUACAUAAGGCUGCAUGACUCCAUAGCAACAGACUCCACAAGAAACUGCUUUAUUGAUGGUAACAGAAUCUUAAAAACUAGGCUGUAUAUUUUCUCCUUCUUUUCUCUUAUACCACAGGGAGUUAGGAUGGAACCAGUUUGAGUUUUUUUAAUACUUUCCUUUUUUCUCCCAGGCUUAAAUCAUAUUUUUCUAUAACUAUUGUUGCACAGUUUCUCCAAUGUUUUCUCAGGGCUUUCUGUGUAUAAUUGGUGCCUUCAGCUGGCUAUAGAGAACCAGGAGGGCAGACUCAAAGCAAAUAUUAAUAUAUUUUUUUUUGCAAAAAUGAAGAGAACAGGAGCAUUCUUUAAAUCCUGAGAAGGUAGACAGUAUUAGAAGACACUCAGGCUGACUGUCUCCUAAAUCCCUGGAUAUAUAAGAUAGUGGAGGAGAGGCACAGUUCUAUUUGAAAGAUUGAGGCAGAUCAGAUCAGGAAAUACAUUCUUCAAGAAGAACAGAAACAUAACUAAUUGAGAUAGACUAUAAUAACAGAAUCUUCCAAGUCUAAUUCUGGUCCUCCUCACAACUGGUGUACAAGAUGAGGAGGCUCUCUUGGUUGUAGCUGCCAUUUGCUCUUUCAUCAAGUCCAGGAAAACGAAAAUUCACACCAGUUCCAAAUGGGGAAAUGCUACUCCAUCCAGGACAAGAUGAAAAAUCACUGUGAUCAGGUAGCCCACCUACUCAGUCUUGCUAGGAUGGAAUCUGAGUUUGUUUUUCCACAUCCAGACCCUCCCAACCUCCACACAUGGGGACAAGCCCUUGACAACAUCAGCAUAUUGAUGAUGCCUCAUCCAUGCCAUCGGAUGACCUCUACCGGUGACCUCAUAUAAUGUUAAACAGGAGAGAUGAGUAUCUGGAACAACUUCAUCCCUUACAUUGGUGGCAGAUCUCAUUGCUAUAGUUUGCUUUCUACAAUUAUCAUUUCUUUUACAGUUAAUGAUUUUUUAAAUGUAAAUUGUAAAUAACAUAUGGGAAAUUAAAGCUUGGGAAAAAAGUAAUAACAGGACAUUGAUUGUAUAUAAGGAUUGAAUGCAAACACAAUUAAGAUAUG
Molecule: long non-coding RNA, 2417 nt
Organism: Crotalus tigris (Tiger rattlesnake)
Lineage: Eukaryota; Metazoa; Chordata; Lepidosauria; Squamata; Viperidae
Exons: 4
Source: RefSeq, a predicted model, not a curated record